AAAUCAGUUAUCGUUUAUUUGAUAGUACCUUACUACUUGGAUAACCGUGGUAAUUCUAGAGCUAAUACAUGCUAAAAACCCUGACUUCGGAAAGGGUGUAUUUAUUAGAUAAAAAACCAAUGCCCUCCGGGGCUCUUUGGUGAUUCAUGAUAACUUAACGGAUCGCAUGGCCUUGCGCCGGCGACGGUUCAUUCAAAUUUCUGCCCUAUCAACUUUCGAUGGUAAGGUAUUGGCUUACCAUGGUUUCAACGGGUAACGGGGAAUUAGGGUUCGAUUCCGGAGAGGGAGCCUGAGAAACGGCUACCACAUCCAAGGAAGGCAGCAGGCGCGCAAAUUACCCAAUCCCGACACGGGGAGGUAGUGACAAUAAAUACUGAUACAGGGCUCUUUUGGGUCUUGUAAUCGGAAUGAGUACAAUUUAAACCUCUUAACGAGGAACAAUUGGAGGGCAAGUCUGGUGCCAGCAGCCGCGGUAAUUCCAGCUCCAAUAGCGUAUAUUAAAGUUGUUGCAGUUAAAAAGCUCGUAGUUGAAUCUUGGGCCUGGCUGGCCGGUCCGCCUCACCGCGUGUACUGGUCUGGCCGGGCCUUUCCUUCUGGAGAACCUCAUGCCCUUCAUUGGGUGUGUUGGGGAACCAGGACUUUUACUUUGAAAAAAUUAGAGUGUUCAAAGCAGGCCUUUGCUCGAAUACGUUAGCAUGGAAUAAUAGAAUAGGACGUGCGGUCCUAUUUUGUUGGUUUCUAGGACCGCCGUAAUGAUUAAUAGGGAUAGUCGGGGGCAUCAGUAUUCAAUUGUCAGAGGUGAAAUUCUUGGAUUUAUUGAAGACUAACUACUGCGAAAGCAUUUGCCAAGGAUGUUUUCAUUAAUCAGUGAACGAAAGUUAGGGGAUCGAAGACGAUCAGAUACCGUCGUAGUCUUAACCGUAAACUAUGCCGACUAGGGAUCGGGCGAUGUUUCAAU
RNAcentral lists this ribosomal RNA (958 nucleotides) under Lentistoma bipolare. Its description in RNAcentral is "SSU rRNA". It matches the Rfam family "Eukaryotic small subunit ribosomal RNA", at positions 103 to 1069 of the family's 1831-position model. The record is from RNAcentral. Lineage: Eukaryota; Fungi; Ascomycota; Dothideomycetes; Pleosporales; Lophiostomataceae.